CGAUAACGAACGAGACCUUAACCUGCUAAAUAGCCAGGCCGGCUUUUGCUGGUCGCCGGCUUCUUAGAGGGACUGUCAGCGUCUAGCUGACGGAAGUUUGAGGCAAUAACAGGUCUGUGAUGCCCUUAGAUGUUCUGGGCCGCACGCGCGCUACACUGACAGAGCCAACGAGUUCAUUUCCUUAGCCGAAAGGCUUGGGUAAUCUUGUUAAACUUUGUCGUGCUGGGGAUGGAGCUUUGUAAUUUUUGCUCUUCAACGAGGAAUUCCUAGUAAGCGCAAGCCAUCAGCUUGCGUUGACUACGUCCCUGCCCUUUGUACACACCGCCCGUCGCUACUACCGGAUUGAAUGGC
RNAcentral lists this ribosomal RNA (351 nucleotides) under uncultured fungus. Its description in RNAcentral is "SSU rRNA". It matches the Rfam family "Eukaryotic small subunit ribosomal RNA", at positions 1326 to 1697 of the family's 1831-position model. The record is from RNAcentral. Lineage: Eukaryota; Fungi.